Carassius carassius (crucian carp) is the source of this 648-nucleotide long non-coding RNA. RefSeq lists it as uncharacterized. The transcript has 2 exons. NCBI's taxonomy places the organism in Eukaryota, Metazoa, Chordata, Actinopteri, Cypriniformes, Cyprinidae. The record is from RefSeq and is a predicted model, not a curated record.
AUUUAAUAGAUCGUUAAAGAUCGCAAACACGAAUCAAACACCAAAGUGAUUCUAUUCCUAAAUUACGAUGAUUCAUCUGUUUCAUUCCUCAACCUUUAACAUGUGCGAUCAAUGUUGUGAUCACUUGUUGGUUCGUCCGUGCAGCGUACGAUCUCACCAGUGUGAUUUGAACAUUAACAUUUGCAUUCGCACUGCCGUUGACCUAAAGAGAGCCGAUGUCAUGUGUCAUGAAUGAAACCGCUUCACAGUCUUUUCAGCCACACAGCAUCAUUUGUUUCUGUGUAACAGACAUUCAAAUCACAGAAGUACUGGGAUAGAAGUUUAUAUAAUUUGAUAUUUCAAAUGAAGAUUUAUCAAUUACAAUGUUUCGCCAGUAGGUAGCGAAAAGGGGGCAUUAAAAUGUAUUUGUCUUUGAAUCAUACAAGACAUUAGUUCAAGAAUGUCGAUUCAUCCAGUAAUGAAACAACAUCUUGAGUUAUUCAUUCAUUCAUAAAUUACAUUUGAUUUUGUUUAGUUCUCUAAUGUUUUACUUUCAGAAUCGUGAGAGAACCACAACUUACAUUGGGGAAAGAAAAAAAAAAGUUAUGUAGCAUGUUGAUUUUUGUUCAUGUUAUUCAGCUUCAAUAAAUGGUUUGCAAAAUAAAGAGA